Molecule: small nucleolar RNA, 138 nt
Organism: Ornithorhynchus anatinus (platypus)
Lineage: Eukaryota; Metazoa; Chordata; Mammalia; Monotremata; Ornithorhynchidae
Source: RefSeq, a predicted model, not a curated record
UCCCUCUCAGGAUCGCUCCUGGAAAGUUUCCAGUACUCUACCAGUCUCGACUAUGGGAGGGAGAGUCAAGCAUAGGCAUACCCAUUCCAUUCCUAGUUUGGGCAGCGGUUAGCAAGUGGAAGGCAAUCUGCUGCAAGU